GUGUCGUGGUAGACAAAAUAUUGGUCCUACAAAGUUGUUCACAUCCUUAUCUCCAGAAUCUGUGGAUAUGAUACUUUCCAUGGCUUAAG
This is a non-coding RNA of Ceratotherium simum simum (southern white rhinoceros), 89 nucleotides long. The record is from RefSeq and is a predicted model, not a curated record. NCBI's taxonomy places the organism in Eukaryota, Metazoa, Chordata, Mammalia, Perissodactyla, Rhinocerotidae.